Molecule: long non-coding RNA, 211 nt
Filed under: Anas platyrhynchos platyrhynchos (common mallard)
Lineage: Eukaryota; Metazoa; Chordata; Aves; Anseriformes; Anatidae
Description: lncRNA (ENSAPLG00000020402.1)
Source: RNAcentral
CUUCAGUUUGUGGCCAUCAGAGACUUGGGCUGGUCCUGUCCAAUCCCACAUUCCUGUUGGAACUGAGCUCCAUGGCCAGGGGAACUGGGAAGAGGCAGAACCUCACAACAGGAGCUGUGCAGUGAAGAUGAUCUCACCACAACCAUAUCAAGGAGGAAGAGUUGACAAAGUAGCUGAUAGGACGGGAAAUGUUUCCACUUGUGAACCAUGA